CAUGUGCACACCCACCAUCCUCAUCUCUCCACCUGUGCACCUCUUGUAGACUUGGGGGAUAGACUUUCCGAGGCAACUCGGGUCUGGAGGAAGGCUGCUCAAGCUUUCUUUGAAUUUCCCGGUCAACGUUUUUUAUAUAUACCCCAUAGCAUGUAACAGAAUGUAUCAUUUGGGCCCUUGUGCCUAUAAACCUUAUACAACUUUCAGCAACGGAUCUCUUGGCUCUCGCAUCGAUGAAGAACGCAGCGAAAUGCGAUAAGUAAUGUGAAUUGCAGAAUUCAGUGAAUCAUCGAAUCUUUGAACGCACCUUGCGCUCCUUGGUAUUCCGAGGAGCAUGCCUGUUUGAGUGUCAUUAAAUUCUCAACCUUAUCAGUUUAUUUCUGAUAGUGGCUUGGAUGUGGGGGUUUCUCUUGCUGGCUCAGGUCAGCUCCCCUUAAAUGCAUUAGCUGGUGCCCCGUGUGGACUGUCUAUUGGUGUGAUAAUUAUCUACGCCAUGCAUGGAUGGUCUGCUUAGCACUGCUUCUAACCGUCUCAGACAAUACAUGACAAUUUGACCUCAAAUCAGGUAGGACUACCCGCUGAACUUAAGCAUAUCAAUAAGCGGAGGAAAAGAAACUAACAAGGAUUCCCCUAGUAACUGCGAGUGAAGCGGGAAAACCUCAAAUUUAAAA
Molecule: ribosomal RNA, 671 nt
Filed under: Hymenogaster sp. 1 SGT-2012
Lineage: Eukaryota; Fungi; Basidiomycota; Agaricomycetes; Agaricales; Hymenogastraceae
Description: eukaryotic LSU rRNA
Rfam family: 5.8S ribosomal RNA (bases 199-352)
Source: RNAcentral